This 477-nucleotide ribosomal RNA is filed under the name uncultured Cytophagales bacterium. RNAcentral's name for it is "bacterial SSU rRNA". It matches the Rfam family "Bacterial small subunit ribosomal RNA", at positions 28 to 508 of the family's 1533-position model. Lineage: Bacteria; Pseudomonadati; Bacteroidota; Sphingobacteriia; Sphingobacteriales. The record is from RNAcentral.
GAUGAACGCUAGCGGCAGGCUUAACACAUGCAAGUCGAGGGGUAUAGUAGCAAUACUAGAGACCGGCGCACGGGUGCGUAACGCGUAUGCAAUCUACCUUUUGCAGAGGGAUAGCCCAGAGAAAUUUGGAUUAAUACCUCAUAGUAUAGUACAAUCGCAUGAUUGAACUAUUAAAGUCACAACGGCAAAAGAUGAGCAUGCGUCCCAUUAGUUAGUUGGUAAGGUAACGGCUUACCAAGACUACGAUGGGUAGGGGUCCUGAGAGGGAGAUCCCCCACACUGGUACUGAGACACGGACCAGACUCCUACGGGAGGCAGCAGUGAGGAAUAUUGGACAAUGGGCGCAAGCCUGAUCCAGCCAUGCCGCGUGCAGGAUGACGGUCCUAUGGAUUGUAAACUGCUUUUGCACAGGAAGAAACAACUCUACGUGUAGAGUCUUGACGGUACUGUGAGAAUAAGGAUCGGCUAACUCCGUGC